Molecule: long non-coding RNA, 1027 nt
Organism: Vidua macroura (Pin-tailed whydah)
Lineage: Eukaryota; Metazoa; Chordata; Aves; Passeriformes; Viduidae
Exons: 4
Source: RefSeq, a predicted model, not a curated record
CUGAGGAGGGUCAGGCAGCACAGAGCGCGCGAAUGCGGCUGCUCCUCCACUCUCGAAUCCUGAGGUAAAAGGCGGCAGAAAAAGGUCCGAGGCGGCGCCAGAGGUGGCCUUGGAGUCACCUCGGGCUGGAAUCUGAGGAAAACCCGCUCGAACGAGGGCUCGGAGCGAGGAGGAGGACACCGGCAUCGGGCUGCCGCCUCUUCCCGCCACUUGGCGCCUCAGGAGGCCGAGUGGCGCUUGCAGAGUUGGUUCCUGAGAGCUCUGUGCUGCUCUGUUCCCUGAGCAGAUAUGAAAUGGCAGUAUUCCCUGGGAAUAGAAGGUGGAUUCAAGCAGAAGGUGUAGGAAAAAGCUUUUGAAAUCUUGUUAGAAGUUGGAUGUUGAUGAAGCCUGAACUUGCAGCAGUGCAGAGUGUGGUGGACAGCACACUUGAAAUAAAGCAGCAGCCUUGCAGCUCCAAGUCCUGUGGAUUAUGGCUGUUCCCCUUUGGCAUGGUGUUGUCUUCAGAGCAUCCCAAACCUGAGCUUUAUAAGCUGUUUGUAAGUGUUUGUGUGGAAAGAGCAUCUGAAGGAAAUCAGGAGUUUCUCAGUGGUACACCCUGGUCUUUAUCUAUGUCACUGGAAUGAUCUUUAUCAACAACUCCCAGCAUAUUAUUCCCAGGACAGGUGAUACGCUAUCCUUCUGGCUUCAGAGGUUCCAACACAGUUCUGAAAAAAAACCCUUUUAAUAAAUGAAUUUUUGUUAUUGGUGUUUUCAGGAUAUUAAAAAUGGUUGUGUGUACAGGCAAAUAAAAACACAAAGUCAGGGCACAAUAUCCAAGGUAUCAUUAACUAUGAGCUCUUUGCUGAAUCUUCCCUCAGUGACUUUUUUCCUUCAGGAUUGUACCUAUUUUCCAAUUCCAACCAAUUGUUGAGUAGUUUCUACUUGUGAAAUCUUCAAGCAGAUGUAAUUCUGUGCCUGCCAUGGGCAGAAAAAAAAUCUCUUAUCUGUAAAUCUUGCAUUUUCUUCCUGACCCUGAUACUUUUGAGAG